CGGCUUCGCGCCACUUUCAUUAUCCCCCUACAAUAAUAUCCUUUAAUAAUAUCCCAUCUUUACAGCGGUAGACACAUGUGCUCUCCACUUUUGCAAAUAGAUGUAUUUUUCUAGCCCAUGUUAAAAGUGAACGAAGCAGUUGCUAGGGUUUUUUUUGUGGGGGGGUUGGUUUCCUCUCCACACAUUGAACGGGUGCUGCUUCUUUUUGGAGAUUUUUUUGUUUUAUCGUUGUAAAAAGAGAAGAUGGAAGAUGCAGAAGGACUGGUGAAUAGUCUGUCGCUGUAUUGUCAAAGUGCUUACAGUGCAGGUAGUGUUAUUGAUGAUCUACUGCAGUGGAGGCACUUCUAGCAAUACCGCUGACACUGACCCCCGCGUGGACCGUAGCCCCUGGGUGGACCGGGCCCCUGGGUGAACCGUAACCCGGCUUGGACCGGGCCCCUGGGUGAACCGUAGCCCCGCGUGGACCGGGCCCCUGGGUGAACCGUAACUCCGCGUGGACCGGGCCCCUGGGUGAACCGGGCCCCUGGGUGAACCGUAACUCUGCGUGGACCAGGCCCAGCUUGGACCGGGCCCCUGGGUGAACCGUAACCCCGCUUGGACCAGGCCCCUGGGUGAACCGUAACUCCGCGUGGACCAGGCCCAGCUUGGACCGGGCCCCUGGGUGAACCGUAACCCCGCUUGGACCAGGCCCCUGGGUGGACCGUAACUCCGCGUGGACCAGGCCCAGCUUGGACCAGGCCCUGCUUGGUUUGACUUGACUUCAUGAUGUCUUUGUGCUAAGGUGCAUC
This 788-nucleotide long non-coding RNA is filed under the name Salmo trutta (river trout). RNAcentral describes it as "lncRNA (ENSSTUG00000037453.1)". The stretch from base 279 to 357 matches the Rfam family "mir-17 microRNA precursor family". Lineage: Eukaryota; Metazoa; Chordata; Actinopteri; Salmoniformes; Salmonidae. The record is from RNAcentral.